Molecule: ribosomal RNA, 435 nt
Filed under: uncultured bacterium
Lineage: Bacteria
Description: bacterial SSU rRNA
Rfam family: Bacterial small subunit ribosomal RNA
Source: RNAcentral
AACGCGAAGAACCUUACCUACUCUUGACAUCCAGAGAACUUUCCAGAGAUGGAUUGGUGCCUUCGGGAACUCUGAGACAGGUGCUGCAUGGCUGUCGUCAGCUCGUGUUGUGAAAUGUUGGGUUAAGUCCCGCAACGAGCGCAACCCUUAUCCUUGUUUGCCAGCGAGUAAUGUCGGGAACUCCAGGGAGACUGCCGGUGAUAAACCGGAGGAAGGUGGGGACGACGUCAAGUCAUCAUGGCCCUUACGAGUAGGGCUACACACGUGCUACAAUGGCGCAUACAGAGGGCGGCCAACUUGCGAAAGUGAGCGAAUCCCAAAAAGUGCGUCGUAGUCCGGAUUGGAGUCUGCAACUCGACUCCAUGAAGUCGGAAUCGCUAGUAAUCGUGGAUCAGAAUGCCACGGUGAAUACGUUCCCGGGUCUUGUACACACCG